Molecule: long non-coding RNA, 403 nt
Filed under: Mytilus galloprovincialis (Mediterranean mussel)
Lineage: Eukaryota; Metazoa; Mollusca; Bivalvia; Mytilida; Mytilidae
Source: RNAcentral
UUUUUUUUAUAUUUGUAUACAUAAAGGAGUAGGUUCAGUAAGACCCCUUUUUGGCCCCAAAAUAUAGCAGUUUUACAAAAUUGUUAAAAUGUAAACCUUUAGUUAUUUAUUGGACAGUAGAAUGCUUCUGCUACAUAAAUAUGGGCUGUUUUUGACAAUACAAUGCACAUAUAUCCGGUACUAGCACCAUUAAGUCAUGCUAAAUUACUGAAAUCCACAUAAUUCUAGCAUUUUAGUUAAAUUUUAGACGGUUUUCGUGUUAAACAAAAGUGGCCGCAUUCGUGUUCAUCCUUAAUAUUGAAAUGUAAGUUGUAUUUUAUGAUAAUACAUAACAUACAUAAAGGUUAAGGAUGAACACUUUCAUUUUUACCAAAAAACAUCUGAAAAGUGACAUUUUUCGGCA